AAUACUUGUUUCUAGGGUUCCGAUUUGAGCGCAAUUUCGUCUUAAAUGACUGGUCCAAGAGAAACAGCUAGCUUUUUACAUAUCUAUUACCCACAGACAUGUAGCUAGUGACACGGAGGGACAAAAGCCCGGGAGAA
This 137-nucleotide small RNA is filed under the name Acaryochloris marina. RNAcentral's name for it is "Guanidine-I sequence". It matches the Rfam family "Guanidine-I riboswitch aptamer". Rfam says of the family: This family represents a conserved RNA structure found upstream of the ykkC and yxkD genes in Bacillus subtilis and related genes in other bacteria. Lineage: Bacteria; Bacillati; Cyanobacteriota; Cyanophyceae; Acaryochloridales; Acaryochloridaceae. The record is from RNAcentral. RNAcentral also lists the same sequence under 1 other name.